Molecule: ribosomal RNA, 293 nt
Filed under: uncultured bacterium
Lineage: Bacteria
Description: partial 16S ribosomal RNA
Rfam family: Bacterial small subunit ribosomal RNA
Source: RNAcentral
GUGCCAGCCGCCGCGGUAAUACGGGCGGAGCGAGCGUUGUUCGGAAUUAUUGGGUGUAAAGGGUGCGCAGGCGGUCGAUUAAGUCGGAAGUGAAAUGUCCACGGCUCAACCGGGAAUCUGCUUCCGAUACUGGUCGACUUGAGUGCGGGAGGGGAGCGUGGAAUUCCUGGUGUAGCGGUGAAAUGCGUAGAUAUCAGGAGGAACACCUGUGGCGAAGGCGACGCUCUGGCCCGUAACUGACGCUCAUGCACGAAAGCCAGGGGAGCGAACGGGAUUAGAAACCCGCGUAGUCC